This 254-nucleotide ribosomal RNA is filed under the name uncultured bacterium. RNAcentral's name for it is "partial 16S ribosomal RNA". It matches the Rfam family "Bacterial small subunit ribosomal RNA", at positions 524 to 776 of the family's 1533-position model. The record is from RNAcentral.
UACGGAGGGUGCAAGCGUUAAUCGGAAUUACUGGGCGUAAAGCGCGCGUAGGCGGCUGGGUAAGUCGAUUUGUGAAAUCCCCGGGCUCAACCUGGGAAUUGCAGUCGAGACUGCCCGGCUAGAGUGUGGGAGAGGGUGGUGGAAUUCCCGGUGUAGCGGUGAAAUGCGUAGAUAUCGGGAGGAACAUCAGUGGCGAAGGCGACCGCCUGGCCCAACACUGACGCUGAGGUGCGAAAGCGUGGGUAGCAAACAGG